This 201-nucleotide unclassified non-coding RNA is filed under the name soil metagenome. RNAcentral's name for it is "partial contains 5.8S ribosomal RNA, internal transcribed spacer 2, and large subunit ribosomal RNA". The record is from RNAcentral.
AACGCACGAGACCUGCGGACCUGCGGAGGGAUCAUUAUAGAGUUUUCUAAACUCCCAACCCAUGUGAACUUACCUUUUGUUGCCUCGGCAGAAGUUAUAGGUCUUCUUAUAGCUGCUGCCGGUGGACCAUUAAACUCUUGUUAUUUUAUGUAAUCUGAGCGUCUUAUUUUAAUAAGUCAAAACUUUCAACAACGGAUCUCU